Molecule: ribosomal RNA, 328 nt
Filed under: uncultured bacterium
Lineage: Bacteria
Description: bacterial SSU rRNA
Rfam family: Bacterial small subunit ribosomal RNA
Source: RNAcentral
UCAGGGAAGCUUGUGCUAAUACCGUAUGAUGCCUCCGGGCCAAAGAUUUAUCGCCCUAAGGAUGGGCCUGCGUCGGAUUAGGUAGUUGGUGAGGUAAUGGCUCACCAAGCCUGCGAUCCGUAGCUGGUCCUGAGAGGAUGAUCAGCCACACUGGGACUGAGACACGGCCCCAGACUCCUACGGGAGGCAGCAGUGGGGAAUAUUGGACAAUGGGCGCAAGCCUGAUCCAGCAAUGCCGCGUGAGUGAUGAAGGCCUUAGGGUUGUAAAGCUCUUUCACCGGGGAAGAUAAUGACGGUACCCGGAGAAGAAGCCCCGGCUAACUCCGUG